RNAcentral lists this ribosomal RNA (1387 nucleotides) under uncultured bacterium. RNAcentral describes it as "bacterial SSU rRNA". It matches the Rfam family "Bacterial small subunit ribosomal RNA". The record is from RNAcentral.
AGAGUUUGAUCAUGGCUCAGGAUGAACGCUAGCGACAGGCUUAACACAUGCAAGUCGAGGGGCAGCGGGGUAGCAAUACCGCCGGCGACCGGCGCACGGGUGAGUAACACGUAUGCAACCUGCCUUCAACAGAGGAAUAACCCGGCGAAAGUCGGCCUAAUACCUCAUAAUACAGGGGUCCCGCAUGGGAAUAUUUGUUAAAGAUUUAUCGGUUGAAGAUGGGCAUGCGUAACAUUAGGUAGUUGGCAGGGUAACGGCCUACCAAGCCCACGAUGUUUAGGGGUUCUGAGAGGAAGGUCCCCCACACUGGUACUGAGACACGGACCAGACUCCUACGGGAGGCAGCAGUGAGGAAUAUUGGUCAAUGGGCGCGAGCCUGAACCAGCCAAGUCGCGUGAAGGAAGACUGCCCUAUGGGUUGUAAACUUCUUUUGCAGGGGAAUAAAGACAGGCACGUGUGCCUGGUUGUAUGUACCCUGCGAAUAAGCAUCGGCUAACUCCGUGCCAGCAGCCGCGGUAAUACGGAGGAUGCGAGCGUUAUCCGGAUUUAUUGGGUUUAAAGGGUGCGUAGGUGGUUUUUUAAGUCAGCGGUGAAAUCUUAACGCUUAACGUCAAAAUUGCCGUUGAAACUGGGGAACUUGAGAGCAGACGAGGCAGGCGGAAUUCGUAGUGUAGCGGUGAAAUGCAUAGAUAUUACGAAGAACUCCGACAGCGCAGGCAGCUUGCCAGACUGCCACUGACACUGAAGCACGAAAGUGUGGGAAUCAAACAGGAUUAGAUACCCUGGUAGUCCACACUGUAAACGAUGAUUACUCGCUGUUUGCGAUAUACAGCAAGCGGCCAAGCGAAAGCAUUAAGUAAUCCACCUGGGGAGUACGCCGGCAACGGUGAAACUCAAAGGAAUUGACGGGGGCCCGCACAAGCGGAGGAACAUGUGGUUUAAUUCGAUGAUACGCGAGGAACCUUACCCGGGCUCGAACGGCUGUUGAAUAAGGGUGAAAGCCUUUAGUCGCAAGACAACAGUCGAGGUGCUGCAUGGUUGUCGUCAGCUCGUGCCGUGAGGUGUCGGCUUAAGUGCCAUAACGAGCGCAACCCUUACCGUUAGUUACCAGCAAGUCAUGUUGGGGACUCUAGCGGGACUGCCACCGUAAGGUGUGAGGAAGGUGGGGAUGACGUCAAAUCAGCACGGCCCUUACGUCCGGGGCGACACACGUGUUACAAUGGCCGGUACAGAGGGCAGCUACUUAGCGAUAAGAUGCUAAUCCCGAAAGCCGGUCUCAGUUCGGAUUGGAGUCUGCAACCCGACUCCAUGAAGUUGGAUUCGCUAGUAAUCGCGCAUCAGCCAUGGCGCGGUGAAUACGUUCCCGGGCCUUGUACACACCGCCCGU